This 490-nucleotide ribosomal RNA is filed under the name uncultured bacterium. RNAcentral's name for it is "partial 16S ribosomal RNA". It matches the Rfam family "Bacterial small subunit ribosomal RNA", at positions 30 to 507 of the family's 1533-position model. The record is from RNAcentral.
AUUGAACGCUGGCGGCAGGCCUAACACAUGCCAGUCGAACGGUAACAGGAAGCAGCUUGCUGCUUCGCUGACGAGUGGCGGACGGGUGAGUAAUGUCUGGGAAGCUGCCUGAUGGAGGGGGAUAACUACUGGAAACGGUAGCUAAUACCGCAUAAUGUCGCAAGACCAAAGAGGGGGACCUUCGGGCCUCUUGCCAUCGGAUGUGCCCAGAUGGGAUUAGCUUGUUGGUGGGGUAACGGCUCACCAAGGCGACGAUCCCUAGCUGGUCUGAGAGGAUGACCAGCCACACUGGAACUGAGACACGGUCCAGACUCCUACGGGAGGCAGCAGUGGGGAAUAUUGCACAAUGGGCGCAAGCCUGAUGCAGCCAUGCCGCGUGAAUGAAGAAGGCCUUCGGGUUGUAAAGUACUUUCAGCGGGGAGGAAGGGAGUAAAGUUAAUACCUUUGCUCAUUGACGUUACCCGCAGAAGAAGCACCGGCUAACUCCGUG